CCUACGGGGUGCUGCAGUGGGGAAUAUUGCACAAUGGGGGAAACCCUGAUGCAGCGACGCCGCGUGAGUGAAGAAGUAAUUCGUUAUGUAAAGCUCUAUCAGCAGGGAAGAAAAGGACGGUACCUGAGUAAGAAGCCCCGGCUAACGACGUGCCAGCAGCCGCGGUAAUACGUAGGGGGCAAGCGUUAUCCGGAUUUACUGGGUGUAAAGGGAGCGUAGACGGCUGGGCACGUCUGGAGUGAAAGGCGGGGGCUCAACCCCCGGACUGCUCUGGAAACUGUACGGCUGUCGUGCCGGAGGGGUACGUGUACUUCCUUGUGUCUCGGUGAACUGCGUCGCUGUUAGUAGUAACCCCAGUGG
RNAcentral lists this ribosomal RNA (360 nucleotides) under uncultured bacterium. Its description in RNAcentral is "partial 16S ribosomal RNA". It matches the Rfam family "Bacterial small subunit ribosomal RNA", at positions 338 to 715 of the family's 1533-position model. The record is from RNAcentral.